Molecule: ribosomal RNA, 273 nt
Filed under: uncultured bacterium
Lineage: Bacteria
Description: partial 16S ribosomal RNA
Rfam family: Bacterial small subunit ribosomal RNA
Source: RNAcentral
UACGAAGGGUGCAAGCGUUAAUCGGAAUUACUGGGCGUAAAGCGCGCGUAGGUGGUUUGUUAAGUUGGAUGUGAAAGCCCCGGGCUCAACCUGGGAACUGCAUCCAAAACUGGCAAGCUAGAGUAUGGCAGAGGGUGGUGGAAUUUCCUGUGUAGCGGUGAAAUGCGUAGAUAUAGGAAGGAACACCAGUGGCGAAGGCGACCACCUGGGCUAAUACUGACACUGAGGUCCGAAGGCGUGGGCGGCAAACCGCAUCAGCUACCCCGGUAGACC